Molecule: long non-coding RNA, 314 nt
Filed under: Lathyrus oleraceus (garden pea)
Lineage: Eukaryota; Viridiplantae; Streptophyta; Magnoliopsida; Fabales; Fabaceae
Description: Pisum sativum (pea) long non-coding RNA (PSAT_LNC005319)
Source: RNAcentral
GGUGGCGAUUUGAGGGUAGAUGGUGGAUUUAGGGUUUUGACGGCGUGAGUUUAGAGGGUUUCGUUGGUGGAUUUGAGAUGAUGAUGGAGUGAAUUUUCUGUAAAUGAGAGACGUGAGAGGGUUUUUCGUGUGAGCUGAGGGUUGAGUGGUGUGAGGGAGUGUGAGCGUUUUGAGUGAACAGUGCGUGAGGAGUGGAUGUGUGGGAAAAAGAAAAGGUUUUAAGGAGAGUUGAGAGAGAAUGAUAGCUGGCGAGGGACACGUGGCAGAGAGGAUGAGAGAUUUCUUUUCUAAUUUUGUUUUUUUAUGUGAGGAGG